This 27-nucleotide non-coding RNA is filed under the name Homo sapiens (human). The record is from RNAcentral. Lineage: Eukaryota; Metazoa; Chordata; Mammalia; Primates; Hominidae.
UACCAAAGGGACACCCAAGGAAGGAGC